RNAcentral lists this ribosomal RNA (414 nucleotides) under uncultured soil bacterium. Its description in RNAcentral is "bacterial SSU rRNA". It matches the Rfam family "Bacterial small subunit ribosomal RNA", at positions 26 to 449 of the family's 1533-position model. The record is from RNAcentral.
AGCCUGAACGCUGGCGGCGUGGCUAAGACAUGCAAGUCGCACGGGGUCGCAAGACCCAGUGGCGAACGGGAGAGUAAUGAAUCGCUAACGUACCCCGGACUCUGGGAUAGCUAUCCGAAAGGGUAGGUAAUACCAGAUAACAUCACUUCCAGGCAUCUGGAGGUGCUCAAAGGUCCGCCGGUCUGGGAGCGGGCGAGUUUCGAAGUCGAGCUAGUUGGUGGGUAACGCUCACCAAGGCGACGACGCGUAGCCGGACUGAGAGGUUGCCGGCCUCAUUGGGACUGAGACACUGCCCAGACCUCCUACGGGGGGCUGGCAGUAACGAAUCUUCCGCAAUGCACGCAAGUGUGACGGAGCGACGCCGCGUGUGGACGAAGCCCGUUCGGGGUGUAAACCGCGUGUACGAGGGUUACC